This 465-nucleotide ribosomal RNA is filed under the name uncultured Stenotrophomonas sp. RNAcentral's name for it is "bacterial SSU rRNA". It matches the Rfam family "Bacterial small subunit ribosomal RNA", at positions 338 to 795 of the family's 1533-position model. The record is from RNAcentral. Lineage: Bacteria; Pseudomonadati; Pseudomonadota; Gammaproteobacteria; Lysobacterales; Lysobacteraceae.
CCUACGGGCGGCAGCAGUGGGGAAUAUUGGACAAUGGGCGCAAGCCUGAUCCAGCCAUACCGCGUGGGUGAAGAAGGCCUUCGGGUUGUAAAGCCCUUUUGUUGGGAAAGAAAAGCAGUCGGCUAAUACCCGGUUGUUCUGACGGUACCCAAAGAAUAGGCACCGGCUAACUUCGUGCCAGCAGCCGCGGUAAUACGAAGGGUGCAAGCGUUACUCGGAAUUACUGGGCGUAAAGCGUGCGUAGGUGGUUGUUUAAGUCUGUUGUGAAAGCCCUGGGCUCAACCUGGGAAUUGCAGUGGAUACUGGGCGACUAGAGUGUGGUAGAGGGUAGUGGAAUUCCCGGUGUAGCAGUGAAAUGCGUAGAGAUCGGGAGGAACAUCCAUGGCGAAGGCAGCUACCUGGACCAACACUGACACUGAGGCACGAAAGCGUGGGGAGCAAACAGGAUUAGAUACCCCGGUAGUC